GUACACUCCUACGGGAGGCAGCAGUGGGGAAUUUUGGACAAUGGGCGAAAGCCUGAUCCAGCCAUGCCGCGUGCAGGAUGAAGGCCUUCGGGUUGUAAACUGCUUUUGUACGGAACGAAACGGCCUUUUCUAAUAAAGAGGGCUAAUGACGGUACCGUAAGAAUAAGCACCGGCUAACUACGUGCCAGCAGCCGCGGUAAUACGUAGGGUGCAAGCGUUAAUCGGAAUUACUGGGCGUAAAGCGUGCGCAGGCGGUUAUGUAAGACAGUUGUGAAAUCCCCGGGCUCAACCUGGGAACUGCAUCUGUGACUGCAUAGCUAGAGUACGGUAGAGGGGGAUGGAAUUCCGCGUGUAGCAGUGAAAUGCGUAGAUAUGCGGAGGAACACCGAUGGCGAAGGCAAUCCCCUGGACCUGUACUGACGCUCAUGCACGAAAGCGUGGGGAGCAAACAGGAUUAGAAACCCUAGUAGUCCCA
This 475-nucleotide ribosomal RNA is filed under the name uncultured organism. RNAcentral's name for it is "partial 16S ribosomal RNA". It matches the Rfam family "Bacterial small subunit ribosomal RNA", at positions 331 to 797 of the family's 1533-position model. The record is from RNAcentral.